UUGAAACAGGGACCAAGGAGUCUAACAUGUGCGCGAGUCGUCGGGUGGUCCACCGCGACGAAACUCGAAAGGCGCAAUGAAAGUGAAGGUCGCGCCANNGCGGUGGCCGGCCGAGGCGGGAUCCGUUUCCGGGCACAUAUCCGGGGCUUCGCGGCCCUGGAGAAAGCCCUGCGGCGCACCGCCGGCCCGUCUCGACCGCAUCGCCNGUGAGGCGGAGCCAGAGCGUACACGUUGGGACCCGAAAGAUGGUGAACUAUGCUCGGNCAGGACGAAACCAGAGGAAACUCUGGUGGAGGUCCGUAGCGAUUCUGACGUNCAAAUCGAUCGUCGGACCUGAGUAUAGGGGCGAAAGACUAAUCGAACC
This 364-nucleotide ribosomal RNA is filed under the name Theatops erythrocephalus. Its description in RNAcentral is "eukaryotic LSU rRNA". It matches the Rfam family "Eukaryotic large subunit ribosomal RNA", at positions 654 to 941 of the family's 3401-position model. Lineage: Eukaryota; Metazoa; Arthropoda; Chilopoda; Scolopendromorpha; Cryptopidae. The record is from RNAcentral.